GGUGGUAUAGCUCAGUAGUAGAGUACAUGCUUAGCAUGCAUGGGUUCAAUCCCCAGUACUUCCA
This 64-nucleotide transfer RNA is filed under the name Camelus dromedarius (Arabian camel). It matches the Rfam family "tRNA". From Rfam's summary of the family: Transfer RNA (tRNA) molecules are approximately 80 nucleotides in length. Their secondary structure includes four short double-helical elements and three loops (D, anti-codon, and T loops). The record is from Rfam by way of RNAcentral. Lineage: Eukaryota; Metazoa; Chordata; Mammalia; Artiodactyla; Camelidae. RNAcentral also lists the same sequence under 1 other name.